UACGUAGGGUGCAAGCGUUGUCCGGAAUUAUUGGGCGUAAAGAGCUCGUAGGCGGUCUGUCACGUCGGCUGUGAAAACCCGAGGCUCAACCUCGGGCCUGCAGUCGAUACGGGCAAACUAGAGUACUGCAGGGGAGACUGGAAUUCCUGGUGUAGCGGUGAAAUGCGCAGAUAUCUGGAGGAACACCGGUGGCGAAGGCGGCAUCCUGGACCAACACUGACGCUGAGGAGCGAAAGCCAGGGGAGCAAACGGG
RNAcentral lists this ribosomal RNA (253 nucleotides) under uncultured bacterium. RNAcentral describes it as "partial 16S ribosomal RNA". It matches the Rfam family "Bacterial small subunit ribosomal RNA", at positions 524 to 776 of the family's 1533-position model. The record is from RNAcentral.